This 1066-nucleotide long non-coding RNA is filed under the name Heterocephalus glaber (naked mole-rat). RNAcentral describes it as "lncRNA (ENSHGLG00000046419.1)". Lineage: Eukaryota; Metazoa; Chordata; Mammalia; Rodentia; Bathyergidae. The record is from RNAcentral.
GGGGGCGGGGCCGGAGAGCGGGCCGCGCCGGGUAAACACCGGGUGGGAGGUGCGGGCGGGGACCGUGAGCCCUUUACCGGGCGGUGCGGCCUGGCCCGGCCUGAGCGGCCUUCCGCCGCCUGCAGACCCGGAGGGGCCGCAGUGCCCGGCCCUGCGAUCCCGGUGUGGCCGCGCGGAGCCCAAAGCCACGCGGGCCCGAGGCGAGGAGACCUCUGCUGGCCCGGGGACCCGCAAAGACACCCCGCUCUGCCCCAGCCACCCAGUGACGGUGUCCACUUGAAGCUUCCUUCUACCUCCAAAGUCCAGUGCCUAAGGAAAGUAACUGAGAAGGUCUGCAAUUCAGAAAGCACUCAUUCGUUAACCACUUGUCGAUUCUCCUGCGAUGGUGCCGGGAUGAGAUUUGAGUAAUACAGACCAGAAAGAAUAAUAAAGGCCAGCACGUCAUUCAAGAAGCACUCUGGGUUUCGCUGUUCAUACCUGAAGAUGCAGCAGUGUCAGCUGAACUCCCAGUUGUUCUUUAAAGAGUGCAAAAAGUGCACCGGGAUCUUGGCGAGACUUUAAUAACAACCGUAAUUUACCAUCUUCUUAAAUGCCCUCGUCCUCCACGUACAGAGUGUGCCUUUGUUCAGUCUACAGUGUUGCUGCUGCGUGUCUCUGAAACUAUUUUCCAUAGAUUCGCCUUGUAAUCUUUCUAAAACCAAAACAAGGACAGACUGCAGAAAGGAAACCAUGCCCUGAUGUGCCUAUGAGCUUAUCUUCCGGAUCGAACUCAGACCUUGCCCUUGUGAGACAGACACCAACCUCGAAGCCAGGAUUGGAAUGCAAGACAUGUACCUGGCGGUGAAGAAAGAAAGCAGCCACGGGGGUGUGAGAUGACACAGGGAGGUAGUGUCCCGUGUCCAGGAGGUGUGUGAUCUACCCACGGCAUCUGGAGCUUCAGCCCCCUAGGAAAAUUGUGGGCACAGGGAGGCAGUAACCUCUCUUCUACUUUCAAAUAAAACUUAGUAGCACAAAGCUGAAAUACACAUUGACUUUGUGGGAUUUUAACACAUGUGCAGGAUGGACC